UACGGAGGGAGCUAGCGUUGUUCGGAAUUACUGGGCGUAAAGCGCACGUAGGCGGCUAUUCAAGUCGGGGGUGAAAGCCCGGGGCUCAACCCCGGAACUGCCCUCGAAACUAGGUAGCUAGAAUCUCGGAGAGGCGAGUGGAAUUCCGAGUGUAGAGGUGAAAUUCGUAGAUAUUCGGAAGAACACCAGUGGCGAAGGCGACUCGCUGGACAAGUAUUGACGCUGAGGUGCGAAAGCGUGGGGAGCAAACAGG
Molecule: ribosomal RNA, 253 nt
Filed under: uncultured bacterium
Lineage: Bacteria
Description: partial 16S ribosomal RNA
Rfam family: Bacterial small subunit ribosomal RNA
Source: RNAcentral